UUAGAAGGGAUUUCCCAACAUGCUGGUCUUAAAUUCAAAGAACUAGAAUUUGCUUACUUUUAGAUUUGAACCUGAGAAAAAUGGUAUUUGAGCCCAUGAUCCUACAUUUUUCUUCUCGCCAUGAUGCCACUAAACAAACUUUUAUAUUGGAUCCAAUGAAUUAAUAGGGAUAUUUGUCAUGACUACUCUAUAUCAAGCUCAGAAACAAGAUUUGAUUUCCGCAUACAUACAUAUGCACCAGUCGAAGAGCUGGGAGGAUGGUGUAAAAAAAUCAAGAGUUUACAAGGGUUUACUUCAAGACGGGGUGCUUGUAGCCAUCAAAAAGCGGCGUGCACUCCCGAGUCAUGAAUUUGUUGAUGAGGUAAUAAUCGGUUUCCUGAUCUAAAACUUGAUUGCAUGAGGUACUGUGAAAUAAAUAAUUGAUGUGAAGUGACUUGAAUUGCCAUAGAGUGAAUAGUGACAAAGUUAGAAGUCUCCUUGAUGAAUUUCUUUAGAGAUGGUUAGUUAGUAAAAAAAUUUCCUUGAUUUCUUUUGUAUAUGUAUUUUUUUUCUGAGUCAUGAAAAUAAUUUUAAACAGAUGCCCUUCUUUUUCUUCUAGUUUUACUUCUCUAUUCCUUAUCUGUUUCUGCUUCAGCAUUUUGAGUAGAAUUCUUUCGAAGUUGCUAGUUAGCCUCAUAUAUUAGUUGAUUCAGAAUGAUGAAAAUUACUUUGCACAUCAUUUCACACUUAACAGAAUAUUUGGUGUUCAAUAAUUUCUGAAUAAAGUCUUCAUUUUCUUUGUUCUGAAAUAUAUGCGAGCAUAAUCAGAAAUCAGUAUUUCUGUCCCACCCACAAAGCCUCUUGUCAAGUACUUUGAAACUUUUAACUAGUCUGGUGAUUAUUUCUGAGAUAAAACUGUAAAUCAAAUAAUUCUAGUAAUAUGGAUUAGCAACAUUUCAAUCAAUACAAGUUUUUUAUAAAUAAAAUAAAUUAAAAAUUUAAUUAGUAUGAAUUAUUUGUAAAUAAGUUUUA
Long non-coding RNA from Gastrolobium bilobum, 1011 nucleotides. RefSeq lists it as uncharacterized. Lineage: Eukaryota; Viridiplantae; Streptophyta; Magnoliopsida; Fabales; Fabaceae. The record is from RefSeq and is a predicted model, not a curated record. The transcript has 3 exons.